Molecule: RNA transcript, 2177 nt
Organism: Solanum pennellii
Lineage: Eukaryota; Viridiplantae; Streptophyta; Magnoliopsida; Solanales; Solanaceae
Exons: 5
Source: RefSeq, a predicted model, not a curated record
CAAUUGCAGAGGUUCCAAAGUAAAUGGCAAACACGUGUUAUAUUGGAGUCAACAUUCUUCUUUCUUCAUCUUUCUCAUUCUUCCUCUCUUCCUUUCCGAAUUCUCACAUCUCUCUCAAAUAAAAUUAUGUAGAAAAUUUCAAAUAAAUAAACCCAACAACUAUUGGAUGCUCCAAAGCUUUAAGAUUGUUGCACCAGUUCCUCAUGUAAAACACAUUCAAUCUCUCACACAUCAAAUGGCGGUUCAAGCCACAACUGCACUAUCCAUAUUUGCUCUAGAGAUAACAAUGAUGAUCAACCAGAGGUACAAGGCUCGGGGUUUUGGGUUUCAGUUAAAAGAGGUGCAACUAUUAGUCCAAUCGGUAACAUAUCGCUUUUACAUUUAUUUUAGGUUUUCGGUUGUAAUUCAGUAAUCAGUAAUUAGUAAUUCAGUUGCUUGAUCUUCCCUUCUGUUUGCAAGCAUAAAUGCAUUUGCCUUCACUAUAUAUUUUUGAUAAAUAAGAUUGCAUUUAAUAUUGCAUUGAUACUCUUAUUAUUAUUUAUGAAUUUUCAAGCGAGUCCUUGUGAAUCUUCUUUGUAGGUCUUCCUUUUUGGAAGUAUAGCCCACCCAUGAAAUCAAACUACCUCAAGUAUUACCUUAACUACUUCAAAAGUGUUCGUUUUACUACUUUAAACGUUUCAAAAUGAAUUUGGCAGAGUACAGUAAUGUGGUUGCAUUUAGGUUUUAUUUAUCUGAAAACACUUAAGAUAUUAACCAGCUGGUAUGUGUUAAGAAAUUGUAUCAGCAUUUUGCUGCUGAAAUUGUUCACAGAACACACUUACACAAGAGGGAAAGGAAAUGGGUUAUGUGCUCUACACAUAUAGAAGUUGAGUUAAAGCACUUCGUCAGGUUAGUAAGGAAUUUCAACUUCCAACAGAAAAUAUUUUGAUCUCUUAAUGAGAUAAGGUUUUACAUUAUCAUUAUCUUUUACUUUGCGUCUAUGAAUUUUAUUUUUGUUUGUGCUGGUGAAAAUGAUUAUAACUGGAAAAGAGUGGGUCAGAUUCUGCAUUUCUUUACUCAGAUUUUCCAUAUUGAUAGAUGGUGAUCCUUAAGGUUUCGUCAAGUCUAGCUGGGUGAUCAUUUAUCCUUUUUCUCUUCGUCUUCGUGACGGAAAUCCAAACUUAACAUUCAAAAUAGUAAAGAGUUUGGGAUAGUUUAAGGGCCCAUGCAUUAGCAAGAAUGGAGAGGAAGAAAUGGUACUUAUGCUUCCUAUAUGCAUAUGAUACAUUACUUUUUUGUGAGGCAGAAAGAGACAAACUAUUGCAUUUAAGAGGGGUUUUAUUUAGUUCUCAAGCAUUUUCUAGGCUGAAAAUCGAUCUAAAAGCAGUAUAUUUAGCAUUAAUGCAGAAUUUUUAUGUUGUGAGGAACUAGCUGGUAUUUUUUGAGUGUGAAAUGAAUAAGUUUCCUACAGUAUAUUUUUCAGUAGGGAUGAAGAAGAAAGACAUACACGAGUAACUGAUAGUUGUACAAAUAAGUUUGUUUCAGAUUUAUUUUUAGAUGUACAGACAAUCCUCAACUUUAAUUAAUUCCUCAUCUUCAAGCUUUGAUUUUCGAGUAGCGAAUGAAGUCGGAGAAGGAAGACAAGGGAAGGAGGAGUGCUCAAUAUUUAGGUUAGUCGUUUGGAUGCAGUACACAUGUUCUAAUCAUAAAAAAAAGUCUCAUAAACAUGUAGUCCACAGGAGAGGAUAUAAUCUAUAUGGUGUUUGAGGUUAGCUUACAUUACAGAUGUUGCACCAGUUCCUAUAUGUUGACACAUUCAGAAAGAGCGGACAAUGAGACUAAAGGUUAAUGACAUUAGAAAAGAAUCCAUGAGAAAUGCAAUAUUAAAGGCUUUCUGAAGAAACCUCAAAAUACAUCCUUGCUAUGUGGUUUAUGGAAGACCCAAGGAUGGCUACCAAGCCAUGGAGUGUAACUCUAGCUCAUUGAAUCAAUGAAUCAGGAGGACAUGUUUGAACAUACAUACACUUCAUAUGCCUAAUAGUAUUUUUGAUAACGUGCUUGUAUAUUUUACACGUAGUAGAGAUAAAUCACAUUAAGCACAAUUAUGUAUACAAAAGAUAUUUUUAACAUGUUAACAACAGCUUUCUGGUAAUGUUGUAUGUGAAUGAAUUUAGAAUGCUCAAUUGCAUGCGGAUCAA